RNAcentral lists this ribosomal RNA (897 nucleotides) under uncultured bacterium. Its description in RNAcentral is "bacterial SSU rRNA". It matches the Rfam family "Bacterial small subunit ribosomal RNA", at positions 28 to 916 of the family's 1533-position model. The record is from RNAcentral.
AACGAACGCUGGCGGUGCGUCUUAAGCAUGCAAGUCGAGCGGCAAGGAAGUGCUUGCACUUCCCUAGAGCGGCGGACUGGUGAGUAACGCGUGGGUGAUCUGCCUGUAGGUUGGGGAUAGCCGAUAGAAAUAUCGGGUAAUACCGAAUAUGGUUACGAUACUGUGGUAUUGUAAAGAAAGGAGCUACGGCUCCGCCUGGAGAUGAGCCCGCGUCCCAUUAGCUGGUUGGUGAGGUAAGAGCCCACCAAGGCGAUGAUGGGUAGCCGGCCUGAGAGGGUGAACGGCCACACUGGGACUGAGAUACGGCCCAGACUCCUACGGGAGGCAGCAGCUAAGAAUAUUCCGCAAUGGACGAAAGUCUGACGGAGCGACACCGCGUGGAUGACGAAGGCCGAAAGGUUGUAAAAUUCUUUUGUUGAUGAAGAAUAAGCAGGGGAGGGAAUGCUCCUGUGAUGACGUUAGUCGACGAAUAAGCCCCGGCUAAUUACGUGCCAGCAGCCGCGGUAACACGUAAGGGGCGAGCGUUGUUCGGAAUUAUUGGGCGUAAAGGGCGCGUAGGCGGUUACUCAAGCUUGGCGUGAAAUGGCAGGGCUUAACCCUGUCACUGCGUUGAGAACUGAGAGACUAGAGUCAUGGAGGGGAAAUUGGAAUUCCUAGUGUAGGGGUGAAAUCUGUAGAUAUUAGGAAGAACACCAGUGGCGAAGGCGAAUUUCUAGCCAAUGACUGACGCUGAGGCGCGAAAGUGCGGGGAGCAAACAGGAUUAGAUACCCUGGUAGUCCGCACAAUAAACGAUGUACACUAGGUGUUGGACCGAGCGGUUCAGUGCCGAAGCAAACGUGAUAAGUGUACCGCCUGGGGAGUAUGGCCGCAAGGGUGAAACUCAAAUGAAUUGACGG